GACGAACGCUGGCGGCGUGCUUAACACAUGCAAGUCGAACGGAAAGGCCCUGCUUUUGUGGGGUGCUCGAGUGGCGAACGGGUGAGUAACACGUGAGUAACCUGCCCUUGACUUUGGGAUAACUUCAGGAAACUGGGGCUAAUACCGGAUAGGAGCUCCUGCUGCAUGGUGGGGGUUGGAAAGUUUCGGCGGUUGGGGAUGGACACGCGGCUUAUCAGCUUGUUGGUGGGGUAGUGGCUUACCAAGGCUUUGACGGGUAGCCGGCCUGAGAGGGUGACCGGCCACAUUGGGACUGAGAUACGGCCCAGACUCCUACGGGAGGAAGCAGUGGGGAAUAUUGCACAAUGGGCGGAAGCCUGAUGCAGCAACGCCGCGUGCGGGAUGACGGCCUUCGGGUUGUAAACCGCUUUCGCCUGUGACGAAGCGUGAGUGACGGUAAUGGGUAAAGAAGCACCGGCUAACUACGUG
RNAcentral lists this ribosomal RNA (468 nucleotides) under uncultured bacterium. Its description in RNAcentral is "partial 16S ribosomal RNA". It matches the Rfam family "Bacterial small subunit ribosomal RNA", at positions 28 to 507 of the family's 1533-position model. The record is from RNAcentral.